Molecule: ribosomal RNA, 465 nt
Filed under: uncultured bacterium
Lineage: Bacteria
Description: partial 16S ribosomal RNA
Rfam family: Bacterial small subunit ribosomal RNA
Source: RNAcentral
GACGAACGCUGGCGGCGUGCUUAACACAUGCAAGUCGUACGGUAAGGCCCUUUCGGGGGUACACGAGUGGCGAACGGGUGAGUAACACGUGAGUAACCUGCCCACAACUUUGGGAUAACGCUAGGAAACUGGUGCUAAUACUGGAUAUGUGCUCCUGCUGCAUGGUGGGGGUUGGAAAGCUCCGGCGGUUGUGGAUGGACUCGCGGCCUAUCAGCUUGUUGGUGGGGUAGUGGCCUACCAAGGCGGCGACGGGUAGCCGGCCUGAGAGGGUGACCGGCCACAUUGGGACUGAGAUACGGCCCAGACUCCGACGGGAGGCAGCAGUGGGGAAAUUUGCACAAUGGGCGCAAGCCUGAUGCAGCAACGCCGCGUGCGGGAUGACGGCCUUCGGGUUGUAAACCGCUUUCAGCAGGGACGAAGCUUUUUGUGACGGUACCUGCAGAAGAAGCACCGGCUAACUACGUG